This 253-nucleotide ribosomal RNA is filed under the name uncultured bacterium. RNAcentral's name for it is "partial 16S ribosomal RNA". It matches the Rfam family "Bacterial small subunit ribosomal RNA", at positions 524 to 776 of the family's 1533-position model. The record is from RNAcentral.
UACGGAGGGUGCAAGCGUUAUCCGGAUUCACUGGGUUUAAAGGGUGCGUAGGAGGGCAGGUAAGUCAGUGGUGAAAUCUCCGAGCUUAACUUGGAAACUGCCGUUGAUACUAUCUGUCUUGAAUAUUGUGGAGGUGAGCGGAAUAUGUCAUGUAGCGGUGAAAUGCUUAGAUAUGACAUAGAACACCAAUUGCGAAGGCAGCUCGCUACACAUAUAUUGACUCUGAGGCACGAAAGUGUGGGGAUCAAACAGG